CCCGAUCCGUUGGGGUGCCGCGAGGCUGAGAGGUGCUGAUGCACCAACCCAUCGAACCUGAUCCGGAUAAUGCCGGCGAAGGGAACGGUCCUGGUUUCGUC
This 101-nucleotide non-coding RNA is filed under the name Allobosea sp. Root381. RNAcentral describes it as "Bosea sp. Root381 TPP riboswitch aptamer (THI element)". It matches the Rfam family "TPP riboswitch aptamer (THI element)". Rfam says of the family: Vitamin B(1) in its active form thiamin pyrophosphate (TPP) is an essential coenzyme that is synthesised by coupling of pyrimidine and thiazole moieties in bacteria. The record is from Rfam by way of RNAcentral. Lineage: Bacteria; Pseudomonadati; Pseudomonadota; Alphaproteobacteria; Hyphomicrobiales; Alloboseaceae. RNAcentral also lists the same sequence under 1 other name.